AAAGUCCAAAUCAUUUUAUUAGAGGACUUUGACCGUUCAGAUUACAAAGAGGUGAGGCGACACGCACUCAGCAGAACUCCAGCAUGUCUCCACUGCCCAAUGACCUGUUCAACAGUGCUGCCUCAUCAGCAGAGAAUAUUUUAGCUAAUCAAUCUGGUGCUACUUCCAAAGACAUUGUCAUGGCUGUGGCUUGUGGCUUGGCUGGGCUGGUUGUUGGUGGUUUGAUGGUCGGCGGAUUUUUAUACUAUAAAUA
Long non-coding RNA from Centropristis striata (black sea bass), 253 nucleotides. RefSeq lists it as uncharacterized. Lineage: Eukaryota; Metazoa; Chordata; Actinopteri; Perciformes; Serranidae. The record is from RefSeq and is a predicted model, not a curated record. The transcript is spliced from 3 exons.